GUUCGACUCCGGAGAGGGAGCCUGAGAAACGGCUACCACAUCCAAGGAAGGCAGCAGGCGCGCAAAUUACCCACUCUCGGCACGAGGAGGUAGUGACGAAAAAUAACGAGACGGAUCUCUUUGAGGCCCGUUAUCGGAAUGAGAACAAUUCAAAUCCUUUAACGAGGAUCUAGCGGAGGGCAAGUCUGGUGCCAGCAGCCGCGGUAAUUCCAGCUCCGCAGGUGUAUAUCUAUGCUGCUGCGGUUAAAAAGCUCGUAGUUGGAUCUGCGUGCUCGGAACUGGUUGGCUCACUGAGUUCAAACUGGUCUCCGGCGCUUUAUUGGCUGGUUUUCCCUUGAUGCUCUUAACCGGGUGUCUUGGGUGGCUAGCACGUUUACUUUGAAAAAAUUAGAGUGCUCAAUACAGGCGUAAAGCCUUGAAUAGUGGUGCAUGGAAUAAUAGAAUAGGACCUCGGCUCUAUUUUGUUGGUUUUCGGAACGCGAGGUAAUGAUUAAGAGGGACAGACGGGGGCAUUCGUAUUGCGACGUUAGAGGUGAAAUUCUUGGAUCGUCGCAAGACGGACGACUGCGAAAGCAUUUGCCAAGAAUGUUUUCAUUAAUCAAGAACGAAAGUUAGAGGUUCGAAGGCGAUCAGAUACCGCCCUAGUUCUAACCGUAAACGAUGCCAACUAGCGAUUCGCAGGCGUUAAACAACGACCUUGCGGGCAGCUUCCCGGAAACGAAAGUGUUCGGGUUCCGGGGGAAGUAUGGUUGCAAAGCUGAAACUUAAAGGAAUUGACGGAAGGGCACCACCAGGAGUGGAGCCUGCGGCUUAAUUUGACCCAACACGGGAAAACUCACCCGGCCCGGACACCGUAAGGAUUGACAGAUUGAGAGCUCUUUCUUGAUUCGGUGGGUGGUGGUGCAUGGCCGUUCUUAGUUGGUGGAGCGAUUUGUCUGGUUUAUUCCGAUAACGAACGAGACUCUGGCCUACUAAAUAGUGGGCGGAUUCUUUCUGUCCGCAACACUUCUUAGAGGGACAAGCGGUGUUCAGCCGCACGAGAUUGAGCAAUAACAGGUCUGUGAUGCCCUUAGAUGUCCGGGGCUGCACGCGCGCUACACUGAAGGAAUCAGCGUGCUUUCUGACCUUGCCCGAAAGGGCUGGGUAACCCGAUGAAAAUCCUUCGUGAUUGGGAUAGGGACUUGCAAUUAUUUCCCUUGAACGAGGAAUUCCCAGUAAGUGUGGGUCAUAAGCUCGCGUUGAUUACGUCCCUGCCCUUUGUACACACCGCCCGUCGUUGCCCGGAACUGAGCCGUUUCGAGAAGAACAGGGACCGUCGUUGAAGGGCCUUAACGGGCUUUUCUCUGAUAGAAACUGUUUUAAUCGCAGUGGCUUGAACCGGGCAAAAGUCGUAACAAGGUU
RNAcentral lists this ribosomal RNA (1401 nucleotides) under metagenome. RNAcentral describes it as "SSU rRNA". It matches the Rfam family "Eukaryotic small subunit ribosomal RNA", at positions 375 to 1801 of the family's 1831-position model. The record is from RNAcentral.